UGGUAGGAUAGAGGCCUACCAUGGUGGUAACGGGUAACGGGGUGUUAGGGCACGACACCGGAGAGGGAGCCUGAGAAACGGCUACCACAUCCAAGGAUGGCAGCAGGCGCGCAAAUUACCCAAUCCCGACACGGGGAGGUAGUGACAAUAAAUAACAAUACGGGGUUCUUUCGGAUCUCGUAAUUGGAAUGAGUACAAUUUAAAUCUCUUAACGAGGAACAAUUGGAGGGCAAGUCUGGUGCCAGCAGCCGCGGUAAUUCCAGCUCCAAUAGCGUAUAUUAAAGUUGUUGCAGUUAAAAAGCUCGUAGUUGAAUUUCGGGGUUAGUAGGUUGGUCAUGCCUCUGGUAUGUACUGGUCUCACUGAUUCCUCCUUCCUGAUGAACCGUAAUGCCAUUAAUUUGGUGUUGCGGGGAAUUUGGACUGUUACUUUGAAAAAAUUAGAGUGUUUAAAGCAAGCUAACGCUUGAAUAUAUUAGCAUGGAAUAAUGAAAUAGGACGUUCGAUCCUAUUUUGUUGGUUUCUAGGAUUGACGUAAUGAUUAAUAGGGAUAGUUGGGGGCAUUAGUAUUCAAUUGUCAGAGGUGAAAUUCUUGGAUUUAUUGAAGACUAACUACUGCGAAAGCAUUUGCCAAGGAUGUUUUCAUUAAUCAAGAACGAAAGUUAGGGGAUCGAAGACGAUCAGAUACCGUCGUAGUCUUAACCAUAAACUAUGCCGACUAGG
RNAcentral lists this ribosomal RNA (720 nucleotides) under uncultured fungus. RNAcentral's name for it is "SSU rRNA". It matches the Rfam family "Eukaryotic small subunit ribosomal RNA", at positions 326 to 1050 of the family's 1831-position model. The record is from RNAcentral. Lineage: Eukaryota; Fungi.